UAUCACCAUUUAAUCACCCAUCCAUGGGUUAAUAUAUAUACACAGCUGGGAAUGACAAGGAGGAACUAAAGCCACUAUAGGCUAUCAAAUCUUUUAGAGAUAAGUUGGAAACUAGACACUUUUUUCACAAAUAAUUUGCAAAGUAGGUAGUUUUUUUAGAAAUAGGGAGAAUAGACACUUUUCUCUUUCCUCUCUAAUACAACUUUCUAUCUAAUAGAGAUUUUAGUGAAUAACUUUUAUAACCUUCUGUUAUUUUGUCAUAUAGUCAAAUAAAGAUAAAAAUAACUUUUGUUUCUUCUUCUCUUUACUUAUAUAUAUUUAGUUUGUUUUGUUAUGAAUUCUUUAUUAAAUAAUUACCAUAAAAUAUAUAUUAAUCUUUUAAAUUUUUUUCUGAAUCUAAAAAGUCUAAUUUUGCUAUAUUUUACAAAUAUAU
RNAcentral lists this small RNA (433 nucleotides) under Arabidopsis thaliana (thale cress). RNAcentral's name for it is "ATSL122900". Lineage: Eukaryota; Viridiplantae; Streptophyta; Magnoliopsida; Brassicales; Brassicaceae. The record is from RNAcentral.